RNAcentral lists this ribosomal RNA (301 nucleotides) under uncultured bacterium. Its description in RNAcentral is "partial 16S ribosomal RNA". It matches the Rfam family "Bacterial small subunit ribosomal RNA", at positions 509 to 807 of the family's 1533-position model. The record is from RNAcentral.
CAGCAGCCGCGGGAAAACGUAGGGUGCGAGCGUUAAUCGGAAUUACUGGGCGUAAAGCGUGCGCAGGCGGUUAUGUAAGACAGGUGUGAAAUCCCCGGGCUUAACCUGGGAACUGCGCUUGUGACUGCACAGCUAGAGUAUGGCAGAGGGGGGUGGAAUUCCACGUGUAGCAGUGAAAUGCGUAGAGAUGUGGAGGAACACCGAUGGCGAAGGCAGCCCCCUGGGCCAAUACUGACGCUCAUGCACGAAAGCGUGGGGAGCAAACAGGAUUAGAUACCCGCGUAGUCCCUGUCUCUUAUAC